AGAGUUUGAUCAUGGCUCAGGAUGAACGCUGGCGGCGUGCCUAACACAUGCAAGUCGAGCGAUCUUCUUCGGAAGAGAGCGGCGGACGGGUGAGUAACGCGUGGGUAACCUACCUCAUACACAUGGAUAACAUACCGAAAGGUAUACUAAUACAAGAUGAUAUAAGAGAUUCGCAUGGAUUUCUUAUCAAAGCUCCGGCGGCAUGAGAUGGACCCGCGUCUGAUUAGCUAGUUGGUAAGGUAACGGCUUACCAAGGCGACGAUCAGUAGCCGACCUGAGAGGGUGAUCGGCCACAUUGGAACUGAGACACGGUCCAAACUCCUACGGGAGGCAGCAGUGGGGAAUAUUGCACAAUGGGCGAAAGCCUGAUGCAGCAACGCCGCGUGAGCGAUGAAGGCCUUCGGGUCGUAAAGCUCUGUCCUCAAGGAAGAUAAUGACGGUACUUGAGGAGGAAGCCCCGGCUAACUACGUGCCAGCAGCCGCGGUAAUACGUAGGGGGCUAGCGUUAUCCGGAUUUACUGGGCGUAAAGGGUGCGUAGGUGGUUUCUUAAGUCAGGAGUGAAAGGCUACGGCUCAACCGUAGUAAGCUCUUGAAACUGGGAAACUUGAGUGCAGGAGAGGAAAGUGGAAUUCCUAGUGUAGCGGUGAAAUGCGUAGAUAUUAGGAGGAACACCAGUAGCGAAGGCGGCUUUCUGGACUGUAACUGACACUGAGGCACGAAAGCGUGGGGAGCAAACAGGAUUAGAUACCCUGGUAGUCCACGCCGUAAACGAUGAGUACUAGGUGUCGGGGGUUACCCCCCUCGGUGCCGCAGCUAACGCAUUAAGUACUCCGCCUGGGGAGUA
RNAcentral lists this ribosomal RNA (845 nucleotides) under uncultured bacterium. Its description in RNAcentral is "bacterial SSU rRNA". It matches the Rfam family "Bacterial small subunit ribosomal RNA", at positions 8 to 882 of the family's 1533-position model. The record is from RNAcentral.